UUCUCCUACGGGAGGCAGCAGUGAGGAAUAUUGGUCAAUGGGCGGGAGCCUGAACCAGCCAAGUCGCGUGAAGGAAGAAGGUACUUAGUAUUGUAAACUUCUUUUGUCGGGGAACAAAGGCGGAGACGCGUCUCCGGAUGAGUGUACCCGAAGAAAAAGCAUCGGCUAACUCCGUGCCAGCAGCCGCGGUAAUACGGAGGAUGCGAGCGUUAUCCGGAUUUAUUGGGUUUAAAGGGUGCGUAGGCGGUUUGAUAAGUUAGAGGUGAAAU
Molecule: ribosomal RNA, 269 nt
Filed under: uncultured bacterium
Lineage: Bacteria
Description: partial 16S ribosomal RNA
Rfam family: Bacterial small subunit ribosomal RNA
Source: RNAcentral